Alnus glutinosa is the source of this 263-nucleotide long non-coding RNA. RefSeq lists it as uncharacterized. NCBI's taxonomy places the organism in Eukaryota, Viridiplantae, Streptophyta, Magnoliopsida, Fagales, Betulaceae. The transcript is spliced from 3 exons. The record is from RefSeq and is a predicted model, not a curated record.
UGAAGCUUUGUUGCCUCUUGUUAUUGAUAUUCAACAUGACAAUGUAAUUGGAACUCAAAAUAGUGUAAUUACUCAGACAAUCUCAAAUCCUGCAGAAUCAGGUUAUGACACGUGCCAAUCAAAGUUGAUUUUCUAGUUGUCACUUUUGAUUAUCUUAUUUGCUGCUACUAAAUGAAGAUGAGUGAUCCAUCCUACAACACAUGCUCAGGAAAAAGUGUUGUCAAUGACAGAACUCCAUUGUGCUUUUGCGAAAUUACAUCUGG